CGGGACUCUCACGAGGCCUCGUAAUCGGAAUGAGUACACUUUAAAUAUUUUAACGAGGAACAAUUGGAGGGCAAGUCUGGUGCCAGCAGCCGCGGUAAUUCCAGCUCCAAUAGCGUAUACUAAAUUUGUUGCGGUUAAAAAGCUCGUAGUUGCAUUUGUGCGCCGCGCUGUCGGUGCACCGCAUCCGCGGUGAUACUGACACGUCUGCGGAGCAUAUCGUCGGUGAGCCGCCGGUAAAACGGCGGUUCAAUAUCAAAAUCCUAUCGCGGUGCUCUUCAGUGAGUGUCGAGGUGGGCCGACAAUUUUACUUUGAACAAAUUAGAGUGCUCAAAGCGGGCUCAAAACGCUGCUUGAAUAUUUCGUGCAUGGAAUAAUGGAAUAUGAUCUCGGUUCUAUUUUGUUGGUUUUCAGAACUCCGAGGUAAUGAUUAAUAGGGAUAACUGGGGGCAUUCGUAUUGCGACGUUAGAGGUGAAAUUCUUGGAUCGUCGCAAGACGAACAUCAGCGAAAGCAUUUGCCAAAGGUGUUUUCAUCAAUCAAGAACGAAAGUUAGAGGUUCGAAGGCGAUUAGAUACCGCCCUAGUUCUAACCGUAAAUAUGUCAUCUAGCGAUCCGCCGACGUUAAUCAAAUGGCUCGGCGGGCAGCUUCCGGGAAACCAAAGAUUUUGGACUCCGGGGGGAGUAUGGUUGCAAAGCUGAAACUUAAAGGAA
Molecule: ribosomal RNA, 710 nt
Filed under: Epicephala sp. ex Breynia vitis-idaea
Lineage: Eukaryota; Metazoa; Arthropoda; Insecta; Lepidoptera; Gracillariidae
Description: SSU rRNA
Rfam family: Eukaryotic small subunit ribosomal RNA
Source: RNAcentral